CUACAGGCUUAACACAUGCAAGUCGAGGGGCAGCAUGGUCUUAGCUUGCUAAGGCUGAUGGCGACCGGCGCACGGGUGAGUAACACGUAUCCAACCUGCCGUCUACUCUUGGCCAGCCUUCUGAAAGGAAGAUUAAUCCAGGAUGGUAUCAUGAGUUCACAUGUCCGCAUGAUUAAAGGUAUUUUCCGGUAGACGAUGGGGAUGCGUUCCAUUAGAUAGUAGGCGGGGUAACGGCCCACCUAGUCAACGAUGGAUAGGGGUUCUGAGAGGAAGGUCCCCCACAUUGGAACUGAGACACGGUCCAAACUCCUACGGGAGGCAGCAGUGAGGAAUAUUGGUCAAUGGGCGAUGGCCUGAACCAGCCAAGUAGCGUGAAGGAUGACUGCCCUAUGGGUUGUAAACUUCUUUUAUAAAGGAAUAAAGUCGGGUAUGCAUACCCGUUUGCAUGUACUUUAUGAAUAAGGAUCGGCUAACUCCGUGCCAGCAGCCGCGGUAAUACGGAGGAUCCGAGCGUUAUCCGGAUUUAUUGGGUUUAAAGGGAGCGUAGAUGGAUGUUUAAGUCAGUUGUGAAAGUUUGCGGCUCAACCGUAAAAUUGCAGUUGAUACUGGAUGUCUUGAGUGCAGUUGAGGCAGGCGGAAUUCGUGGUGUAGCGGUGAAAUGCUUAGAUAUCACGAAGAACUCCGAUUGCG
This 690-nucleotide ribosomal RNA is filed under the name uncultured Bacteroidales bacterium. RNAcentral's name for it is "bacterial SSU rRNA". It matches the Rfam family "Bacterial small subunit ribosomal RNA", at positions 40 to 717 of the family's 1533-position model. The record is from RNAcentral. Lineage: Bacteria; Pseudomonadati; Bacteroidota; Bacteroidia; Bacteroidales.